This 126-nucleotide ribosomal RNA is filed under the name Oliveonia pauxilla. RNAcentral's name for it is "5.8S ribosomal RNA". It matches the Rfam family "5.8S ribosomal RNA", at positions 3 to 128 of the family's 154-position model. Rfam says of the family: 5.8S ribosomal RNA (5.8S rRNA) is a component of the large subunit of the eukaryotic ribosome. It is transcribed by RNA polymerase I as part of the 45S precursor that also contains 18S and 28S rRNA. Lineage: Eukaryota; Fungi; Basidiomycota; Agaricomycetes; Cantharellales; Oliveoniaceae. The record is from RNAcentral.
CUUUCAACAACGGAUCUCUUGGCUCUCGCAUCGAUGAAGAACGCAGCGAAAUGCGAUAAGUAAUGUGAAUUGCAGAAUUCAGUGAAUCAUCGAAUCUUUGAACGCAUCUUGCGCUCCUUGGUAUUC